RNAcentral lists this unclassified non-coding RNA (200 nucleotides) under fungal sp. RNAcentral's name for it is "partial internal transcribed spacer 2". Lineage: Eukaryota; Fungi. The record is from RNAcentral.
UUAAGUUCAGCGGGUAAUCCUGCCUGAUCUGAGGUCUAAUCUAAAAGUAUUUGACUAGAAGGAUUGGUAGCUUCCACUCUUAUCUACACAUUCGGCCACCAACUCCGAAGAGUCAAUGCUCCUCAGCGAAUAGUCUAUUACGCUGAGUCAAUCCGAAGUUCGAAAUUGAGAUGCUAAUGUAUUACGAACGAGCAACCUCA